CAUGUAUGUGUGUGUGUGUGUGUGUGUGUGUGUGUGUGUGUGUAUGUACGGGGACACACACACACACACACACACACACACACACACAAAGAC
Molecule: microRNA precursor, 93 nt
Filed under: Mustela putorius furo (domestic ferret)
Lineage: Eukaryota; Metazoa; Chordata; Mammalia; Carnivora; Mustelidae
Description: miRNA (ENSMPUG00000023803.1)
Source: RNAcentral